This 894-nucleotide ribosomal RNA is filed under the name uncultured bacterium. Its description in RNAcentral is "bacterial SSU rRNA". It matches the Rfam family "Bacterial small subunit ribosomal RNA", at positions 1 to 916 of the family's 1533-position model. The record is from RNAcentral.
UUUUUCAGCAGAUGGCUCAGGACGAACGCUGGCGGCGUGCUUAACACAUGCAAGUCGAACGGUAAGGCCCUUCGGGGUACACGAGUGGCGAACGGGUGAGUAACACGUGAGUGACCUGCCCUCUACUUCGGGAUAACCUCCAGAAAUGGUGGCUAAUACCGGAUAUUCACAUGUUCCUGCAUGGGGGUGUGUGGAAAGCCUUGUGCGGUAGGGGAUGGACUCGCGGCCUAUCAGCUUGUUGGUGAGGUAGUGGCUCACCAAGGCGUCGACGGGUAGCCGGCCUGAGAGGGUGACCGGCCACAUUGGGACUGAGAUACGGCCCAGACUCCUACGGGAGGCAGCAGUGGGAAUAUUGCGCAAUGGGCGGAAGCCUGACGCAGCAACGCCGCGUGCGGGAUGACGGCCUUCGGGUUGUAAACCGCUUUCACGCAUGACGAAGCUUUUGUGACGGUAGUGCGAGAAGAAGCACCGGCCAACUACGUGCCAGCAGCCGCGGUGAUACGUAGGGUGCGAGCGUUGUCCGGAAUUAUUGGGCGUAAAGAGCUUGUAGGCGGUUUGUCACGUCGAAAGUGAAAGCUCGGGCCUUAAUCCCGAGCUUGCUUUCGAUACGGGCUGACUAGAGGAAGGUAGGGGGGAACGGAAUUCCUGGUGGAGCGGUGGAAUGCGCAGAUAUCAGGAGGAACACCGGUGGCGAAGGCGGUUCUCUGGACCUUUCCUGACGCUGAGAAGCGAAAGCGUGGGGAGCAAACAGGCUUAGAUACCCUGGUAGUCCACGCCGUAAACGGUGGGCACUAGGUGUGGGUCACAUUCCACGUGAUCCGUGCCGCAGCUAACGCAUUAAGUGCCCCGCCUGGGGAGUACGGCCGCAAGGCUAAAACUCAAAGGAAUUGACGG